Molecule: ribosomal RNA, 394 nt
Filed under: uncultured bacterium
Lineage: Bacteria
Description: bacterial SSU rRNA
Rfam family: Bacterial small subunit ribosomal RNA
Source: RNAcentral
AUUGAACGCUGGCGGCAGGCCUAACACAUGCAAGUCGAACGGUAACAGGAAGAAGCUUGCUUCUUUGCUGACGAGUGGCGGACGGGUGAGUAAUGUCUGGGAAACUGCCUGAUGGAGGGGGAUAACUACUGGAAACGGUAGCUAAUACCGCAUAACGUCGCAAGACCAAAGAGGGGGGACCUUCGGGCCUCUUGCCAUCGGAUGUGCCCAGAUGGGAUUAGCUAGUAGGUGGGGUAACGGCUCACCUAGGCGACGAUCCCUAGCUGGUCUGAGAGGAUGACCAGCCACACUGGAACUGAGACACGGUCCAGACUCCUACGGGAGGCAGCAGUGGGGAAUAUUGCACAAUGGGCGCAAGCCUGAUGCAGCCAUGCCGCGUGUAUGAAGAAGGCCU